AUAUUUAUAUGACCAAAAAUCUCUUUUUUAUUUAUAUAAUUGGAAGGAUUACAUUGAGUACAAUUUCAAAAACCAAAUGAAAAAUACAAGAGAAAAGGAGACUAGUCAUCCUAAGGAUCCCUAACAACGUCAGAAGACCUAGUUGAAGGCGCGUACUUCCUUCGAAUGCGGCGGAUCUCGGUCUCAAAAGAAGCCAACUUGUUAAGGACUACUCCACACAAGUUGAACAUGACUAUACCAUCCUCCUAUCUUAAUUGCACUCAAGUUCGGGUUAGAACUUAUAUCACCACUCAGAGAUCACCAAGCACAACAAGCAGAUUAUAUCAC
Molecule: long non-coding RNA, 327 nt
Filed under: Lathyrus oleraceus (garden pea)
Lineage: Eukaryota; Viridiplantae; Streptophyta; Magnoliopsida; Fabales; Fabaceae
Description: Pisum sativum (pea) long non-coding RNA (PSAT_LNC006601)
Source: RNAcentral